GACGAACGCUGGCGGCGUGCCUAAUACAUGCAAGUCGAGCGGAGGUUUUCUGGUACUUGGACCGGAAGAACUGAGCGGCGAACGGGUGAGUAACACGUAAAGAACCUUCCUCUUAGGCGGGGGCAACUGUUGGAAACGAUAGCUAAUACCGGAUAACAGCAUUAACUGGAUGGUUGACGUUUGAAGGUUCGUUUUGGUAACACUAUGAGAUGGCUGUGCGGUGCAUUAGCUAGUUGGUGGGGUAAAGGCCUACCAAGGCGACGAUGCGUAGCCGACCUGAGAGGGUGAUCGGCCACACUGGAACUGAGACACGGCCCAGACUCCUACGGGAGGCAGCAGUAGGGAAUCUUCCGCAAUGGGCGCAAGCCUGACGGAGCAACGCCGCGUGAGUGAAGAAGGCUUUCGGUUCGUAAAGCUCUGUUGUUAGGGAAGAAUGACUACGGAGUAACUCUACGUAGUAGCGACGGUACCUAACCAGAAAGCCACGGCUAACUACGUG
RNAcentral lists this ribosomal RNA (499 nucleotides) under uncultured bacterium. RNAcentral describes it as "partial 16S ribosomal RNA". It matches the Rfam family "Bacterial small subunit ribosomal RNA", at positions 28 to 507 of the family's 1533-position model. The record is from RNAcentral.